UCCUAUGAAAAAAAAAAAAAGAAAGUUUAAUCGUGGAACGAACUGCUCAAAAACAGGUAAAGACGAAUGUAAAAACAUAUGGUACUGUUUAAAGAAUGCUGCCAUCUGUGUAGAACACCUUCUACUAUUCCAUCCAGUUUCUACACAAAAACUAGACGUUGUCCUUGUGCGGCCCCAUGCCACAACUCAAAUGACAACAGGUCUUUAAAUUCUGCUUAACAACAAUCAACGUCGACCGUGACUCCAAGAAAAACCUACAUAAGGUGACAUAAAAUAAACGUUAGAUAAUAAUUUUCUUAUCUUCCACACCCAAAAACACCCGCACGCUCUUAAGUGAUGAAAUUGCAUUACCUUGAUAGCUAUGUCGGCAUCAAGCGAUUAACACUUUCAGUGCACAUUUUUCGGACACGAAACGGAGGAAAACAUCCCUAAUUGAUGUUGACACCCUUGGCUAUAUUUUGCACGCUAUAGAUCAAAACUAUGCAAUUACAACAAAGUGUUCUUUCCUAUGAUUUUAAAACCAAUCGCCAUUACAGAACCUAUGAUUAUAAUUGACCCCUACAUUACAAAUGCUUCUUUACCCA
Molecule: long non-coding RNA, 584 nt
Organism: Daphnia magna
Lineage: Eukaryota; Metazoa; Arthropoda; Branchiopoda; Diplostraca; Daphniidae
Exons: 2
Source: RefSeq, a predicted model, not a curated record